This 488-nucleotide ribosomal RNA is filed under the name uncultured bacterium. RNAcentral describes it as "partial 16S ribosomal RNA". It matches the Rfam family "Bacterial small subunit ribosomal RNA", at positions 28 to 507 of the family's 1533-position model. The record is from RNAcentral.
GACGAACGCUGGCGGCGUGCUUAACACAUGCAAGUCGAACGCGCCUGUCCUCUGGGUUUCUGGGGGGUGGGUGAGUGGCGAACGGGUGAGUAACACGUGAGUAACCUGCCCCCUUCUUCGGGAUAACGGUCUGAAAGGGCUGCUAAUACCGGGUAUUCACUGGUCUCCGCAUGGGGUCUGGUGGAAAGGUUUUUUUCUGGUGGGGGAUGGGCUCGCGGCCUAUCAGCUUGUUGGUGGGGUGAUGGCCCACCAAGGCUUUGACGGGUAGCCGGCCUGAGAGGGUGACCGGUCACAUUGGGACUGAGAUACGGCCCAGACUCGUACGGGAGGCAGCAGUGGGGAAUAUUGCACAAUGGGCGCAAGCCUGAUGCAGCGACGCCGCGUGAGGGAUGGAGGCCGUCGGGUUGUGAACCUCUGUCGCCCGUGGUCAAGCCGCGACGUGGGUCGUGGUGAGGGUAGUGGGUAAAGAAGCGCCGGCUAACUACGUG